This 481-nucleotide ribosomal RNA is filed under the name uncultured bacterium. RNAcentral describes it as "partial 16S ribosomal RNA". It matches the Rfam family "Bacterial small subunit ribosomal RNA", at positions 28 to 507 of the family's 1533-position model. The record is from RNAcentral.
GAUGAACGCUGGCGGCGUGCUUAACACAUGCCAGUCGAACGAAGCACUUUAUUUGAUUUCCUUCGGGACUGAUUAUUUUGUGACUGAGUGGCGGACGGGUGAGUAACGCGUGGGUAACCUGCCUUGUACAGGGGGAUAACAGUUGGAAACGGCUGCUAAUACCGCAUAAGCGCACGGCAUCGCAUGAUGCAGUGUGAAAAACUCCGGUGGUAUAAGAUGGACCCGCGUUGGAUUAGCUAGUUGGUGAGGUAACGGCCCACCAAGGCGACGAUCCAUAGCCGACCUGAGGGGGUGACCGGCCACAUUGGGACUGAGACACGGCCCAAACUCCUACGGGAGGCAGCAGUGGGGAAUAUUGCACAAUGGGCGAAAGCCUGAUGCAGCGACGCCGCGUGAGCGAGGAAGUAUUUCGGUAUGUAAAGCUCUAUCAGCAGGGAAGAUAAUGACGGUACCUGACGAAGAAGCACCGGCUAAAUACGUG